GAUGAACGCUAGCGGCAGGCCUAACACAUGCAAGUCGAGGGAGAAGCCCUUUCGGGGGCCGAAACCGGCGCACGGGUGCGUAACGCGUAUGCAACCUACCUUUCACAGGGGGAUAGCCCGAAGAAAUUUGGAUUAAUACCCCAUAAUAUUAUUGGAUGGCAUCAUUUGAUAAUUAAAACUGCGGUGGUGAAAGAUGGGCAUGCGUCCUAUUAGCUAGUUGGAGUGGUAACGGCACCCCAAGGCUACGAUAGGUAGGGGUCCUGAGAGGGAGAUCCCCCACACUGGUACUGAGACAGGGACCAGACUCCUACGGGAGGCAGCAGUGAGGAAUAUUGGUCAAUGGUCGGAAGACUGAACCAGCCAUGCCGCGUGCAGGAAGAAUGCCUUAUGGGUGGUAAACUGCUUUUAUAGGGGAAGAAUAAGGCGUACGUGUACGUUGAUGACGGUACCAUAUGAAUAAGCAUCGGCUAACUCCGUG
Molecule: ribosomal RNA, 478 nt
Filed under: uncultured bacterium
Lineage: Bacteria
Description: partial 16S ribosomal RNA
Rfam family: Bacterial small subunit ribosomal RNA
Source: RNAcentral